CACGUAGGGGACGAGCGUUGUCCGGAUUCAUUGGGCGUAAAGCGCGCGUAGGCGGCCCGGAAAGUGGGGUGUGAAAACCCGAGGCUCAACCUCGGGCGUGCACUCCAAACUCCCGGGCUCGAGGCAGGUAGGGGAGAUCGGAAUUCCUGGUGUAGCGGUGAAAUGCGCAGAUAUCAGGAAGAACACCCGUGGCGAAAGCGGCUCUCUGGAACGGUACUGACGCUGAGACGCGAAAGCGUGGGGAGCGAACAGG
This 253-nucleotide ribosomal RNA is filed under the name uncultured bacterium. RNAcentral's name for it is "partial 16S ribosomal RNA". It matches the Rfam family "Bacterial small subunit ribosomal RNA", at positions 524 to 776 of the family's 1533-position model. The record is from RNAcentral.